This 400-nucleotide ribosomal RNA is filed under the name phytoplankton environmental sample. RNAcentral's name for it is "partial small subunit ribosomal RNA". It matches the Rfam family "Eukaryotic small subunit ribosomal RNA", at positions 587 to 989 of the family's 1831-position model. The record is from RNAcentral.
AGCUCCAAUAGCGUAUAUUAAAGUUGUUGCAGUUAAAAAGCUCGUAGUUGGAUGUCCGGUUUGUGGUUGGCUCCCAGCACUCUUUGUGUUGGUUUUGCCUGCCACGGCCAUGUUUGGGUGGAAGCCAUGUGGCAUUAGGUUGUCGUGUGGCGGAGGCCCAUCGUUUACUGUGAAAAAAUUGGAGUGUUCAAAGCAGGCUUAUGCCGUUGAACAUAUUAGCAUGGAAUAAUGAGAUAGGGCCUUGGUACUAUUUUGUUGGUUUGUGCACCAAGGUAAUGAUUAACAGGGACAGUUGGGGGUAUUCGUAUUCCGUUGUCAGAGGUGAAAUUCUUGGAUUUACGGAAGACGAACUAAUGCAAAAGCAUUUACCAAGGAUGUUUUCAUUAAUCAAGAACGAAAG